GAUGAACGCUAGCGACAGGCCUAACACAUGCAAGUCGAGGGGCAGCACAUGAGUAGCAAUACGAUGGUGGCGACCGGCGCACGGGUGAGUAACACGUAUGCAACCUGCCUGUAAGAGGGGAAUAACCCGGAGAAAUUCGGACUAAUACCGCAUAAUACCACGAGACUGCAUGGUUUUGUGGUUAAACAUUUAUGGCUUACAGAUGGGCAUGCGUAUGAUUAGAUAGUUGUAGGUAACGGCUACCAAGUCUACGAUCAUUAGGGGUUCUGAGAGGAAGGUCCCCCAACUGGUACUGAGACACGGACCAGACUCCUACGGGAGCAGCAGUGAGGAAUAUUGGUCAAUGGGCGAGAGCCUGAACCAGCCAAGUCGCGUGAGGGAUGACGGCCCUAUGGGUUGUAAACCCCUUUUAUGCGGGAAUAAAAUGUUUGACGUGUCAUACAUUGUAGGUACCGCAAGAAUAAGGACCGGCUAAUUCCGUGCCAGCAGCCGC
RNAcentral lists this ribosomal RNA (493 nucleotides) under uncultured bacterium. RNAcentral's name for it is "bacterial SSU rRNA". It matches the Rfam family "Bacterial small subunit ribosomal RNA", at positions 28 to 518 of the family's 1533-position model. The record is from RNAcentral.